GACGAACGCUGGCGGCGUGCCUAAUACAUGCAAGUAGAACGCUGAAGGAGGAGCUUGCUCUUCUGGAUGAGUUGCGAACGGGUGAGUAACGCGUAGGUAACCUGCCUGGUAGCGGGGGAUAACUAUUGGAAACGAUAGCUAAUACCGCAUAAGAGUAGAUGUUGCAUGACAUUUACUUAAAAGGUGCAAUUGCAUCACUACCAGAUGGACCUGCGUUGUAUUAGCUAGUUGGUGGGGUAACGGCUUACCAAGGCGACGAUACAUAGCCGACCUGAGAGGGGGAUCGGGCACACUGGGACUGAGACCAGGCCCAGACUCCUACGGGAGGCAGCAGUAGGGAAUCUUCGGCAAUGGGCGGAAGUCUGACCGAGCAACGCCGCGGGAGUGAAGGAGGUUUUCGGGUCGGAAAGCUCUGUUGUAAGAGAAGAACGAGUUUGAGAGUGGAAAGUUCACACUGUGGCGGUAUCUUAACAGAAAGGGACGGCUAACUACGU
RNAcentral lists this ribosomal RNA (494 nucleotides) under uncultured bacterium. RNAcentral describes it as "partial 16S ribosomal RNA". It matches the Rfam family "Bacterial small subunit ribosomal RNA", at positions 28 to 506 of the family's 1533-position model. The record is from RNAcentral.